This 245-nucleotide ribosomal RNA is filed under the name uncultured bacterium. RNAcentral's name for it is "partial small subunit ribosomal RNA". It matches the Rfam family "Bacterial small subunit ribosomal RNA", at positions 26 to 285 of the family's 1533-position model. The record is from RNAcentral.
AGAAUCAACGCUGGCGGCGUGCCUAACACAUGCAAGUCGAACGAGAAAGUGGAGCAAUCCAUGAGUAAAGUGGCGCACGGGUGAGUAACACGUGACUAACCUACCCUUGAGUGGGGAAUAACUUCGGGAAACCGAGGCUAAUACCGCAUAACGCCUACGGGUCAAAGGAGCAAUUCGCUUAAGGAGGGGGUCGCGGCAGAUUAGUUAGUUGGCAGGGUAAUGGCCUACCAAGACGGUGAUCUGUA